UACAGAGGGGGCAAGCGUUGUUCGGAAUUACUGGGCGUAAAGGGCGCGUAGGCGGCCUUCUAAGUCGAACGUGAAAUCCCCGAGCUCAACUCGGGAACUGCGUCCGAUACUGACAGGCUUGAAUCCGGGAGAGGGAUGCGGAAUUCCAGGUGUAGCGGUGAAAUGCGCAGAUAUCAGGAAGAACACCAAUGGCGAAAGCAGCUUUCUGGGACGGUACUGACGCUGAGACGCGAAAGCGUGGGGAGCGAACAGG
Molecule: ribosomal RNA, 253 nt
Filed under: uncultured bacterium
Lineage: Bacteria
Description: partial 16S ribosomal RNA
Rfam family: Bacterial small subunit ribosomal RNA
Source: RNAcentral